GCGCGAGUGGUGAAAUGGCAUACACUUACGUUUGAGGGGCGUAUGGCGAAAGCCGUGUGGGUUCAAGUCCCACCUCGCGCACCA
RNAcentral lists this transfer RNA (84 nucleotides) under Candidatus Omnitrophota bacterium. RNAcentral describes it as "tRNA-Leu". It matches the Rfam family "tRNA". From Rfam's summary of the family: Transfer RNA (tRNA) molecules are approximately 80 nucleotides in length. Their secondary structure includes four short double-helical elements and three loops (D, anti-codon, and T loops). Lineage: Bacteria; Pseudomonadati; Candidatus Omnitrophota. The record is from RNAcentral.